UACAGAGGGUGCAAACGUUGUUCGGAUUUACUGGGCGUAAAGCGUGUGUAGGCGGUUUGGCAAGUCGGAUGUGAAAGCCCCGGGCUCAACUCGGGAAGUGCACUCGAUACUGCUAGACUGGAGUGUGGGAGAGGUUGGCGGAAUUCUCGGUGUAGAGGUGAAAUUCGUAGAUAUCGAGAGGAACACCGGCGGCGAAGGCGGCCAACUGGACCAACACUGACGCUGAGACACGAAAGCGUGGGGAGCAAACAGG
RNAcentral lists this ribosomal RNA (253 nucleotides) under uncultured bacterium. RNAcentral describes it as "partial 16S ribosomal RNA". It matches the Rfam family "Bacterial small subunit ribosomal RNA", at positions 524 to 776 of the family's 1533-position model. The record is from RNAcentral.